CAGGUGCCCAGUAUUUUCCUCCAAUUCUAAGGGAGGAUAGGACAGAAUAACAAGCGAAAGUGGUCCAAUAUUACUCACCGCUUUGGAUGUCCCUCAGAAGAAUACAUCUUAUACUUACUAUUAAUAGAAAAAUUAAAAUGAGUCCUUAAUAUCAUUUCUUUUUCUGAUUAUAAAAGUAUACUUAAGAAAAUCGUGGCAAUAUAUGCCAU
RNAcentral lists this long non-coding RNA (209 nucleotides) under Pan troglodytes (chimpanzee). RNAcentral describes it as "long non-coding RNA NONPTRT014548". The record is from RNAcentral. Lineage: Eukaryota; Metazoa; Chordata; Mammalia; Primates; Hominidae.